Molecule: long non-coding RNA, 1342 nt
Organism: Toxorhynchites rutilus septentrionalis
Lineage: Eukaryota; Metazoa; Arthropoda; Insecta; Diptera; Culicidae
Exons: 4
Source: RefSeq, a predicted model, not a curated record
UGUAUCCGUGUUUUGAUUCUGUAUUCGUGCUUUGAUUUAGUGUCUGGUGCUAAUUCCGUAAUAUUUACGCUAAAAGUUUGGUGAAAAGGUUUUUAAUUUUAUAGUCUCCUCACAUAAAAGCCAUGCAGAUUCGAGAAUCUAUUCUGGAACUUCUUUUCGAUUUUCCUUGUAUUGAAAAGUCCUAUCUCAAAUAGCCAGGAAUUGAAAAGGCCGUGAUGUACCUCUACAAGCACCCUCGAGAAUCCAAACUAAACCGAUAGCGCGCUGGAAAAUUGAUAUCCGAAUGGGCUCGACCUAUAUUCAACCUGAGCACCGAUUUCAAAGCGAUAUCACGUGAGGAACGCCAGGAACGAGACUUGCAGCAGGUGUCCAAAAAACGCAAAACCUCGCCGGACCCACAGGAUCAGAGCAGUACCAGCAAAAAGGGCUUACCGUUCACCGAGGCUAAUAAGGGUGUAUUACGAUCCGGAAGCAAAGGAUGGGUACAAUGGGCUCGCGUUCCCAUGCCUUCGGGUAAGGAGUACAUUGUUCGGCCAAAAUAAACAAGUGAUAUUGAUAUGAGUCGGGUAAUUAUUCCUACAUCUUUGAAGCUGCAGUUCUAGAGAAAAAGCGAUAAAAGUAGAAUAAUAUAAGGAUAAUAAAAUUAGGCUGCAAAAAUGGACUUCGACAUUUUUUAUAUCUCAGAAAAUUUGAGGUUUCUAGUCACAAUAGGAUAUUUCUCCAUCCUCCUUAUCAACUCCUGAAACUGCUUCCGAUUUGUCACACGUAACCUGAAAUAUAUAAUUCUAUCAUAAAUGGAGACGCAAAUCGCACUCAUUUUUUGGCUUCCAUUGUUCGUACUAGUCGAUAGCAAAAGAGGAUACGACUUCAAAAGUCACAAAAUGACAAGUUUUUGACUGCAAUCGCCCACGAGAAUUGAGUGAGUGUUCAUGAGAGUUCAUUCAAGGUAAAAAUCUGUGUAGCGCACUUAAUUAGGUAAGGUCUUCACGCCCAGAAAAUUUCAUUAAGUUCUGAGAGGGUCGAGUUGGUGCGAAAACCGUCUAUUAUUAUUUAGGUCGGUUCUCUUACCCCACAUGUCCAUUCUCCCUUUCUUCCCUAUUUCAUAAGCAGAACUUAGUACCCGUUGAGAACAGAUCAUUACAGGAUCACUACCAAAGGAUCCCGAUGCUACAUCACCUGGCGAUGUAGUUGUUAGGACCCACCACAGGCGCUGUUCCAGACAAGUAUAAUACCGACAAGGCAACGAAGGACCUUUUUUUAUGAUAUAUUGUUCUGUAGUUUUAGCUAACUAAACUUAAGUUCAUAAUUAUAUAGUUACAAUAUAUUUAAAUAGUUUAAAAAU